This 12060-nucleotide long non-coding RNA is filed under the name Triticum aestivum (bread wheat). RNAcentral's name for it is "long non-coding RNA (TAES_LNC019356)". Lineage: Eukaryota; Viridiplantae; Streptophyta; Magnoliopsida; Poales; Poaceae. The record is from RNAcentral.
AAGGAAAUAAAUAAUAACUUUAUUAUUGCCUCUAGGGCAUAUUUCCUUCAGUUCUAUCAGCUACAUACCUACCUAGCUGAACCACAUGUCCUACACUCUUACUCAACACUAAUGGUUGGGGCGCGCCUCCUCUGCGUCACUUUGUGCAUCAGUUAUACUGAUGUACUUGUUAAUAUUCGAACAUUGCAGUUAAGAUACAAUGAUUAAAAUAGAAGUGCAGCAGAAGAGUUUCCUUUUAUAAAGCAGAGUAGACAUAUAGUAGUUUGAAGAAUGCUAAUAGGUCUAUAUUAUUGGCCUGGCGUAUUCAUCUUUCCGAAGACGCGCUCCCCUGGUGCGGCCAUGUCUCGCGGAUGUUCCAAGCCCUGCGGGUCACCUUAUUGAUCCUGCCAGACCCCACUGUGUAGCUGCUAUCGUUGGCCUUAUCCUCUGUCUCCGAAAACACCGGUCGUCCAGCUCGGUCUGGCCCCUAAUCCACGUCCACCUGCUCUACAGCACAUGGAAGAGAUACGCCCAUGGUUGUGAAUCCAUAGCAUGGAAACCUCCGGAAGGUAGAGUGGGGCACCGUCUGCAUGAAACUGAACAACAAUAUCUUUAGGCGAUUAAACUGCAAAUCCAGAUUGACACUAAGCGAUUGAAUCACGUCCACGUAUUAUCCCAACACCAGCAUAUAUAUGCUGCGCAUUUUCUUUAAGGCAAAAAAAUAACUUCUUCAAGGGUAAGCAAUUGAUGAAAGCAUCUCUCUCUCUAAUUUAUCAGAUUUGUCGCUCAUCAUUGAAGUAUCUUCGAAUGAUUCAGGAGAAAAUCAUCAUUCCUUGAGAUCAUAUUUUCUAUGUACUAAAAUGUAAAAGAUCAAUCUUCUAUCAGAUUUACAUGUCAUUACCUUGUCCUAGUUGACGUCAUUGCUGGACGAACAAAUGAACCAGCCCCUUUCUAUACGCUACAAUGAUGUGAUCAUCAUGGAUUACAAGAAAGUAGGCUAGUUCAAUCUUGAAAUGACAUCUCCCACAGUAUUCAGAGUAAAAUCUAUACCAUUAAGCAUGUGAGUCAAAUAGAUUCGCAUAAAAAAAUUGGAGGUUCGCAUAUAUUGAAGCAUGAGCUGCACCCUGAUGACACUACAGAUAUAGAAAGUAUAUAGUUUCAACUUUCAACAACUCUGAAGGCUUAAGCUCAGGAAUUUCCUUUUGUCAAACACACACCUGAAUGUGUGUUUCUUGUCUUUUGCUCAGGAAUUUACAAGUACUGUAAAAAAAUACUAAAACUGAAUUUAUCCUCAUCAAACUAAAAAACAUUCUUACUCAAUACUGUACGAACCAUGGUCUUGAAGCUCAUGCAUGUUCCCUAUUUUCAGUUAUAAACUUAUAAUUAUAAAUAAUUCUGACAUCGCUUUAAAUAGUACCCACAGUCUUGACAAAAUACUACUGCAAAUAAUUGAUAUUGAUGUCACUAUCAGUUGGUGGGAAAAAAAUUAACUCGAGUAUAUCCACAAAGCAGAUCAAUAGAUGGUAGAAAACAAAUGACGACAAGAACGGUUAUUCCAGCACUAAUAUAUGUAAUACUUCUGGGCAGUUCAGAUUAAUGGAAGAUAUUAGUAACUCAAUCCAGAGUUGGUAAUUAAGAAAGCAAUUAAUCUCUUACUGAAUAUAGAAAAUUCCGAGGGCAAACCAAAGUAGAAAACCUAUCUCUGACAACCCAUAUCCCAAAGAAACAGAACAAGCCCCGGUGCCAAGCGUAAUCAAAGUUCAUGUUAUAGGAUGACGAAGCUCACAUUUCCUUUUGGAACCUGAUUUUGCAUUUUCAGAAUCUUUGGAUGGUUGCGGCUUUAAUGAGAACAUAGUUAGAUGCCUAUGUCCACCCACUUGUUUAAUAGUACUGAAGUCAUGAAAAAUAUUCUGCUGAGUUAGCUAUGAAUUUCAGCAUAGAGUCAAGGUACAGUAAUAAACUGCAUCCUUAUUAAAAACAAGCACAUUUGUAUUCCAUCUUUCACGCUCGUAUGUACUUGCAACUCGAUCAACUGGCCUCUCAUGUCUCCUUAAUUCUUAUUUAUAAACGAGUAUCAUCAUAUCUAAGGGUAGUAUUAUUGAUUUUCUGUGGAGGAGGCAGAGUUGCACCUACUCACAGCAUGACCAACAUGAUAUGACGUAGAGGCCGGAAUCAUAGUAUUUCUAGAGUACUUGCUCCCUAAUUAAUUUAACUGGAUAGUUUAUGUCACCUGUGUGGCAUGUAUAACCUAUCUUAGAAAUAUUUGCACUAAAUUUUUAAUUAUGUGUGCUUAGAUUUCCUGCUCUUUUGUUUACUGUAUAUAGGUGACACAUGCUGACUUGAAAACGCUAACAAGAAGAUCAUGUUCAAGAAAGAUGGCAUAGUACAGGGGCCUUUAAUGUGAGACUGUUUAGACCUCACACUCGUGACCGCAGUUUAGUGUAACUAGAAGAUACCCCGCACGUUGCUGCGACAAAUUAUGGUUACAAAUUGAUUAAAUUAAAAAUAUAACACAUGGCUAUAUAGUAUUUAAAUGGUUAGCUCUUGGUUGUGCUUGUGCAUGACAGAAGAAAUCAUAAGUGAACAACCGUAUAGAGCCCCUUAAUGUGAAAACAAAUGGCAUUGGUAAUCUGUCAUUGUCGCAACUGCAAGCACGAAUAUAAUACUCUCUGUUCACAAAUAUAAGAUCUUUAACCUUUUUCUGAUUCAGAAGUAUAUAAGCGCAUUUUGGUGUGUUUGUUCACUCAUUUCAGUUUAUACAUAGUCCAUAUUGAAAUAUACAUAUAUUAGUGAAUGGAUGGAGUAAAACAAAAUAGGCCAAAAUCAAUUAUACUGCAAUAAAUUAUAGCCGAGAAAAUACUCCAGGAAACAAUACAAACUUAAUAUUAAGAUAGCUUGUUCAAUGAGAAAUACACACCUAAAUAAGGCUCUCGCCAACAGAUUACAUGAACGUUUAGUUUGCUUCUUGGAUGUUGCCUAACCUGUUUUUGUUUCUCUGGUUUUCCUGUGUAUAAAACACCUUGACAAUGAGUAAGAAGCACAUGUAUAACAUUUUAUGUAUGUAUGGUUACAGAAAUCACGGCAGUAAAAUAUUUUUAGCAUUCUUACAUGAUCAACAAUAGUCUUCAAAUCAGGUAGUAAAAGACUUAAAAAUAAUAUGUGUAGAAAAAACAUGAGGGAGAUGGGAUUAUUAUUCUUUGAUUACAUUAUAAAGAUUACACUGGUCAACGGUACCUCAGUUGCAGCUGUUUGAAUUUUCAUCAACCACCUUGUCGACAUCAGAAAAUAAAGAUCUGCACAAACAACAUAAGAGUGGUGACUUAAUUUCAGUAGACUAAUGCAGCCCCAAGAUGUUGGUAUUACUACUCAAAUAAAAACAAAUAGUCAAAGACUAAUCAAAUUAGAUAUAAGCAGCAACACAUGCAGGCAGAUGACCGCUGGAUGUUGUGUAAAGGGAUGGCGACCAGCUUACUCACCACUCGCGAGUGGAACGGAGAGGACAUUGCGCAUGGUUCAGGGAGAAUAACGUAUGCAAAUUCAGAGAUUUCAAGCUAAUAGAAUUCAGAGAUCUACUUGACUCAAGCUCAUCUGAUCGUGGAUUAGGACCAUUUUUACAGCCAGCUAGCCAUACCUAUCGUACUGUAGAACCAAAAGGAGUACUACUUGCUCUUGUUAAUUAGACUCUUCCCGAGUCUGUCCUAUUCAGAACGGAGUACCUCAUGUCGGUACACUUUCCCAUCAGCGUUCAUAAACUGCAAAAAAAAAUACACACAUGCAUACAUACUUCGGCAUAAGAUAGAUUCACAGGAACAAAAUAACUGCACACCAUCUCCUUGUAAAAAAAAAUUAUGUCUAGCAGAUGCCCUUAUUAUCUUUGAUUUAGCAGAACAGGAACCCGUUGCAAAGAUACUAGUUGGAGUGGUAUAUUCUUCAGCCUUAUGUGUAUAACGCUCUUGCCGAGGGUUGAAUGUCCCGAGCGUCCGUCUGAUUCUCAACUACAAAACGAAACAUUUACAGAUACUCCCUCCUUCCAUCUAUAUAGGGCCUAAUGCAUUUUUUAAGACCACCUUUGACCAUUGAUAAGAUUAAUAGUACAUGACAUGCACAAUGUGAAAAUUAUAUCAUUGAAAGCUACUUUCACACACGAAUUUAACGGUGUGCUUUGUGUAAAUUGCAUGUCAUAUAUUAUAGUUCUAAUAUUUAGUCAAAGUUAGCCUCGAAAAACGCAUUAGACCCUAUAUAGAUGAAAGGAGGGAGUAACAUAUAACCUAGCUUACAGUCAAUGAACUAAUUUCUUAUUGAACAAUCCUAACUAGCCAUACCCGCGCGGCGGCACGCCGCGCCCCGUUGAUACGUCAUAUUUAUACGUCAUAUUUGUACGUCGCUUUUGUUUUAUGCAGUGAAUUCCAAUUUGAAGUAAGAAAUCACAAGAGUGUGAAAUGAGCGGUUUUAACACCUCCUCUUUUCAUAUGCUCAUGGGAAUAAGAGUGUGAAAGGAUCAGGGUCCAUAUUAUGGGAACAAGAAUGUGAAAGGAUCACGGUCCAUAUUAUGAGCGGUUUUAACACCUCCUCUUUUCAUAUGCUCAUGUGAAAUACUCGUGAAAAUGCCAUUAAACAUAGAAUUUAUAUCAUAGCAUAAAGAGGGCACGCAUAUAUGGAUGUUUCUGAAGUCUUGUAAAGGGUAAUCUUCAUGUUUGCAAGCUAGAUGACAGAGAUGGGAUUCUUGACGCUGUAGGAGGCCAUGUAGGGAUCAACAAAACAUAAUUGCUGUUUAUAACAGGUGGAACCUUCCAUCGUUUGCUCCCACUGAGAUGGCAAAAUGUCCUUGCAUCACUACAACCUUUUGGUCGUAUAAGGAAAAUAGCGAAAAAAGCCGCCAAAACAAACAUUUUUAUCAUUAUGAUACAUUGGCACUAUAUUUAUGCGUCCAUUAAAAUUAAGUUUGUUGUAUCAAUAAUCUACAGACUUUUGGAAGGAAAACAGAGCAUAUGGAAUCAAAAUCUAUUGUUCAGUUUUACAUUUAUCCCCAAGAACAAAACACAACGUUGAACCAACUUUUGGAGGAAAAAACUGUCGGGGGAACUGAUCCACGAACACCUAUGGGGAUCGGGCCCCUUUCGGUUCGGUGGGAGGCGGAGAGCGCACAAAGAGCGGAUCGAGACGGUGCACGCGGGCGGUUUUACCCAGCUUCGGGCCGCACGGAUGCGUAAAACCCUACUGCUGCUUGUUUGUGUGUAUUGAACCUUUGCUCAGGAGCGAUCGACGCUACCAGACUGAGCGUGGGAGUGUUUCUGGUGUCUCCAAUGAGCCGAACUGGCCGGACCUCCUCUACGUUGCGCUUGGGCCUCCUUUUAUACUUUCAAGGGGUCACCGACAGGUGGCAACGUAGACUAGAAGGGUAAAAAUGGAAAAGGAUGCGGUAGGUGCAGCUACCGCUACUGUGGAUACAGUGCGCCCUACCUAACUCUGACGGCAGGGGACAAAGGCAUUAAAUGCCUGUCUGAGUCUCCCAAACAGUGCAAAAGGUGACCGUGAGGAGCGCCACCGCUUGCCACGAUGGGCUUCUCUUCAUCUCCGCUUGCCACCACGUACCCCUAGCUGCACGGCCUCCUGCCACGUGUGCUUGGGAGAGUCCCAGAGCGACACGUUAGCAGGUGUGCUGGAGCGCGGGCCCGAAGUGGGGGUUUCCCGCGGCAAGCUCCUUGCCGCGGCCGUCGUCUUGUCGCGUCCGGAAGCUUGUCGCUCGCCGGAUCUUGCCGGGACGCAGGGCGCGUCGCAGCAAGCUUUCUUGGUAUGCCUUGAGUAGCCUUCCCGGCAAGCUCCUCUUGCCGGGGUCAUGUCUCUUCCCGGCAAGAUCCUCUUGCAGGGGCCUUGGUAGUCCUUCCCGGCAAGCUCCUCUUGCCGGGGCCUUGGUUGGCCCUCCCGGUAAGCUCCUCUUGUCGGGACCUUGGUUUGAGUACUUUGUUCUUGAAUGGUCUUCAAGGGAACCACGGAGGGUCUUGGCGGUCACCCGGCAAGCCUUGCCGCGGGGUGCUGCGACUGCCCGUGCACAAGUUCGGGGUACUAGGGUACCCCUACUCUAGUACACCGACAGGAGCCUCCGGGCCUGGGCCAUACACGGUGCCGAGCGCCGUUGGGCCAGGCCCAAAACAGUGCACGGGCACGCGCGGCCUAGGUCACGCCGCAUAUCUCUCCGCUCCCACCGCGCACGCCCAGAACGGCACGCGUCAAACGCGGCGUCGUGGGAGAGAUCAUGGGAGGUGUGCGCGGGGCUAAGCCCCUCAAGCAUGCGCCAGGCCACGAUGAUGGGGACGGUUCACGCCCUCCUCUCUAAACGGAGGUAGGUGUGGGGGCGUGAUGCAUUUACUGGACGGGGCCGGUGCAUGGUUUUCGGGACGUCCACUCCCCGCGUUCACGGGGCGGAGCGAGGCCGCCUCAUCUGUCGCCUUGGUUCUGCAUCUCCGCCACGCGGCUCCCAUGCGCUUGGGGUCACGGACGGUGGAGUGGGAAACUGGGUCGUCGCGAGCAGAGGCAGCGGGUUGGCCCUGACUCCCUGCCCUUCCCGUGCCUUGAUUCGCUGAGCGGGGCGGCCGAGCCCCCACCUCGCUCCUUUAUAAAGAGCGGGAUGGGAGCACAGAAACCCGCACUCUCGCAUCUUCUCUUUUCUUCAGCUUCUGCUCCCCUUUCUCUCAUCUGCCAUGGAGAAAGGGAACCCAGGCCCUUCAUCGGUGGCGGCGAGGGUCGCCACCAGACAGCGCAUCUCUCCCUCUUCCGCGCCCGUGGUGGCAGAGCCAGCCAUAAGGGGAAGAGGGAGAGGGCGAGGUCGCGGACGAGGUCGAGGACGAGGUCGAGGCGCUCGGGGAAGAGGUGGACGGGGCGGCGUGUCAGCUUCACCUCCGCCGGCGGCUCCUCCCCCCACGGCGGUCCAUAUAGGGGACGACCCUUGCGAGUUCUUCGUCAGGCUGCGCCGGGCGCCUCGUCGUCGCCUCCGGCUUCCAGCUCCGUUUGCGCGCGCGAUGGAGUUGGACCCGCCCGAGACACUGAGAUUGCACAUGAGGGGCUGUGGGAUCAACGGCACGCGAGUCCGUGUUGCAUUCCCAGCCCCUAAUGUGAUGUAUCUUGAUUGAGGGUGGAAGACGUUCGCCCGCAUCCACAGCUUGACGGAGGGGUUUACCCUCCAUUUUAAGUUGAUGGAGGGCGAUCUCCUCUCCGUCAAGGCCUUCGGGUGCUUCGGCACUCGGGCGAAGUGCUGCGUGGACAGCUCCUCCGACAGCGAAGGCUCCUCCUCGAGCGAGAGCGACGAGGAGGGGAGCGACAGCGACGAUGAGGGUAGCGGGCGGCGGAGCGGCGGGUCCGACUAGGCGUCGGGCGCCGCUUUGCGCGGCACCGGCGACCCCAUCAUCCGCGUCGCCGGCUUCUUGAACUCCCCGGGGUCGUCUCCUUGGGCGGCUGGCGUAGGGACGCUGCGGAAGGGGAAGAGGGCUGGCGACAAGGCCGUCAGGUCGGAGUACGAGGGCGUGGUGCCCUCGACAGCGUGCUGACGCCCUGCCGCCCCGUCUUCGAGCCCCGCUUCCAGCGCCGUCGUCGCCGUCCAGCCUUCGGACGACCCCCGGGAUGUUCCCUUGGUGUCUUCUGGCACCCUAGCUCGCCUAGGCACUCCUUUUGCCCUUUUCGCCUCCUUGACCUGUCUCAUGAAGAGAAGGACAGGAAAGGGAUUACGGGCAUCUCAUCUUUUUAAUUUGUAAGCCUUCAGGCCUUAGCUGUAUCUAAAACUUGUAAUCCUCUCUUUCAUGUUUUUCAUCCUCUAUGGACUGUACCUGAGUGGGAUAUUUUUUUAAUGAAAAGGGAAUGCUUGCCGGGUUAUUUGUCUCGUGAGUUAAACCCACGCCAAGGAGCAAAUCCUUGGUAUCCCUCGGACAGACAUUUCAUCUCCCGGCAACAGGCCCUGCCGCCUUCCCACGUCGCUCAACCUUUCUCACACUUUUGACGGAGGCAGGAACGAGGUGGGUGCGGUCUCCUCGUUUCAUCCCUUUGCUGCCGCGACUACGACCGAACUUGGCCCCGAGAACGAGUCCCAGGGCCUAGAGUUGAGGGAGCAUGGCAGUUUUCGGGAAGAAACGUGGUUUCGCAUUCCCCAGUCCAUAAGAGGAUGCAUGAUGAGGGAUAAAAGACUUAUCUGAUAUUGCAGCCCCCGGCAACUCUGGUUUGCCGUGGACGAUUCUUGGCACUCGCAGCCCCCAGCGAUAUUGGCUUGCCGGGAAGGCUUUUAUCUUCAGCAGAGAACUUUGACGUUUUCGAUGCCGGCUUCCGGCAAGCUCGUUGCCAGGAAGGCUUUUAUCUUCAGCAGAGAACUUCGGCGUUCUCGAUGCCGGCUUCCGGCAAGCUCGUUGCCAGGAAGGCUUUUAUCUUCGACAGAGAACUUUAACAUUCUCGAUGCCGGCUUCCGGCAAGCUUGUUGCCAGGAAGGCUUUUAUCUUCAGCAGAGAACUUUGACGUUCUCGAUACCGGCUUCCGGCAAACUUGUUGCCAGGAAGGCUUUUAUCUUCAGCAGAGAACUUUGACGUUCUCGAUGCCGGCUUCCGGCAAGCUUGUUGCCAGGAAGGCUUUUAUCUUCGGCAGAGGACUUUGACGUUCUCGAUGCCGGCUUCCGGCAAACUUGUUGCCAGGAAGGCUUUUGUCUUCGGCAGAGAACUUUGACGUUCUCGAUGCCGUCUUCCGGCAAGCUUGUUGCCAGGAAGGCUUAUGGCGAAGAACGUCGUCGUUCUUGACACCGGCUCCGGGCAAGAUCGUUGCCGGAAAGGCUUAUGGCGAAGAACGUCGUCGUUCUUGACACUGGCUCCCGGUAAGAUCGUUGCCGGAAAGGCUUAUGGCGAAGAACGUCGUCGUCCUUGACACCGGCUCCCGGCAAGAUCGUUGCCGGAAAGGCUUAUGGCGAAGAACUUCAUCGUUCUUGACGCCGGCUCCCGGCAAGAUCGUUGCCGGAAAGGCUUAUGGCGAAGAACUUCGUCGUUCUUGACGUCGGCUCCCGGCAAGAUCGUUGCCGAAAAGGCUUAUGGCGAAGAACUUCGUCGUUCUUGACGCCGGCUCCCGGCAAGAUCGUUGCCGGAAAGGCUUAUGGCGAAGAACUUCGUCGUUCUUGACGCCAGCUCCCGGCAAGAUCGUUGCCGGAAAGGCUUAUGGCAAAGAACUUCGUCGUUCUUGACGCCGGCUCCCGGCAAGAUCGUUGCCGGAAAGGCUUAUGGCGAGGAAUUUCGUCGUUCUUGAUGCCGAAAAGAUUGGCCCUAAGGGCGUUGCCAGCCCCCGGGCCAUAACUGCGUUCAAACAUAGCAAGUGAUUAGCAUCCGAAGUGCACUUAACUCGCUUGCGAAUUUUGACUUCUGCUACAUAUUCCCUAUGCCUGCUGGAAUGCUUUCCGGUGCGUGUGAUCCAGCCAGCAGCGCUUGAGGGAACGGGCCCUUAGCGGCUAUUCGGGAACAUCGCCUCCCGGAAAGGUUUACCUUCUUGGUUCUAGCGCAACCGCACAAGUUGCUGAGCGGACUCGAGGCAACAUGGAGCGCAACUAGCCCCGAGAAGGCUCCUUGGCAUACAGGUCUAUGCAGAAAUCUCAAAUAAAUAGUGCAUGCUAUCUUCCUGUUCAACCUCUCUUUGUACGUCCACCCUACGCUUUCUAGGGAAACUUGCCGGUGCAGGCACCCUUGCCGCGAGCGCCGAGUGCGGAACUUCAGCAGCCUGCUGGCGGGGUUGCUACCGACAAGCAAUCUUGUCGCAGCUAGUUGCAGCUCGCUUAAGCUGUUGAGCGGACUCGAAACAAAGUAAGGGCGCUAGCGGCUCACUUAAGUUGCUGAGCGGACUCGAAGCAAAGUAAGGGCGCUAGCAGCUCACUUAAGUUGUUGAGUGAACUCGAAACAAAGUAAGGGCGCAACUAGCUACGAGUUGAUUCCUCCGCGCACAGGUUUUCCGUACAAAGAACAAGAUCUCUGAGGCGGAUAACUUUAUAUAGAAAGGAAAUAUCUAAAGUUUCGCACGACUUAGCUUUUCUGUUGCCGCACUGGCGCCGUUCUUUCGCUCGCCCGCUCCUUAGGAGCCAUGACGAUGAAGAACAGCUGAGCCCUGGCGUGGACGGAACAGCUGCCUCCGAAUCCUUCUUCUUCGGUGGCAUGUCGAUGAAGACGAUGAAGAUUUAGCUUGCGUGCACGCUGGAUCGGGUUCGCACAAUCUCGACGCCCCCUACCUGGCGCGCCAAAGAUGUCGGGGGAACUGAUCCACGAACACCUAUGGGGAUCGGGCCCCUUUCGGUUCGGUGGGAGGCGGAGAGCGCACAAAGAGCGGAUCGAGGCGGUGCACGCGGGCGGUUUUACCCAGCUUCGGGCCGCACGAAUGCGUAAAACCCUACUGCUGCUUGUUUGUGUGUAUUGAACCUUUGCUCAGGAGCGAUCGACGCUACCAGACUGAGCAUGGGAGUGUUUCUGGUGUCUCCAAUGAGCCGAACUGGCCGAACGUCCUCUACAUUGCGCUUGGGCCUCCUUUUAUACUUUCAAGGGGUCACCGACAAGUGGCAACGUAGACUAGAAGGGUAAAAAUGGAAAAGGAUGCGGUAGGUGCAGCUACCGCUACUGUGGAUACAGUGCGCCCUACCUAACUCUGACGGCAGGGGACAAAGGCAUUAAAUGCCUAUCUGAGUCUCCCAAACAGUGCAAAAGGUGACCGUUAGGAGCGCCACCGCUUGCCACGAUGGGCUUCUCUUCAUCUCCGCUUGCCACCACGUACCCCUAGUUGCACGGCCUCCUGCCACGUGUGCUUGGGAGAGUCCCAGAGCGACACGUUAGCAGGUGUGCUGGAGCGCGGGCCAGAAGUGGGGGUUUCCCGCGGCAAGCUCCUUGCCGCGGCCGUCGUCUUGUCGCGUCCGGAAGCUUGUCGCUUGCCGGAUCUUGCCGGGACGCAGGGCGCGUUGCAGCAAGCUUUCUUGGUAUGCCUUGAGUAGCCUUCCCGGCAAGCUCCUCUUGCCGGGGUCUUGUCUCUUCCCGGCAAGAUCCUCUUGCCGGUGCCUUGGUAGUCCUUCCCGACAAGCUCCUCUUGCCGGGGCCUUGGUUGGCCCUCCCGGCAAGCUCCUCUUGCCGGGACCUUGGUUUGAGUACUUUGUUCUUGAAUGGUCUUCAAGGGAACCACGGAGGGUCUUGGCGGUCACCCGGCAAGCCUUGCCGCGGGGUGCUGCGACUGCCCGUGCACAAGUUCGGGGUACUAGGGUACCCCUACUCUAGUACACCGACAAAAACAGAACAUAUGGAAUUAAAAUCUGAUGUUCAGUUUCUCAUUUAUCCCGAGGAACUAACACUCAAUAUUGACCUAUCAACAUAAAAAGGUAAACAGAACCAAGUACCAAAUAUUCUGCAGUAACUAUCAUCCCAUAAUUUGCAAUCGCAGUAUUACUGCUCCAUAUCAUUAGUAAUCUUACUUCUGACUUGGGAACUUACACCAACCAAUGCAACAUGUUUGAAUUUGUAUUGCAUUUAGAGCCACAAUUACCUGCAAACAGGAGGAAGAAAUAAAUCAUGCUUCAAAUAAAAGGAUAUCAAAGCCAUACUUUUGGUAGAGAAGGAAUCAUACAUGUUGAAACGUGAUUCACAGGGAGAUCUUCAGGCUGCCUUGGGCGCUACUUUUAGUUAAUAGAGAUAGAUUCUCUUUGUAUGUUUAUCUUGUAUCUCUCUCUCUCUCUCUCUGUUAUCCCUCCUAUGACCAAUACCUUGUAAUCCAUCGUGAGGACUCUUCCUCAUCGUUCAAUAUAAUAGCGAGGGCUCCCUUCCAGGGAACCUGAGACGCUUCAUAGAAAUCUUACAUGGUAUACAGAGCAGGCUCUUCCCAUCACAUCUAGCUUAUCCACCUUGACCGAUCAUCAUCAUCAACCUCCAUCGAUCAUCCCCAUCGCAACCAUCUCCACCUCCGCUGCUAUUCCCUCCACCGGCCUCAACUACAACAUAUCUGAGCCUCUCACUAGGACGAAUUAUAUCCUCUGGCGAGUUCAAGCCCGAUCCCAAAUAAUGGGCGCUGGCUUGUACGGCUACAUCGACAAAACCAUAGAGGAGC